CAACACUUGGACUACUCUUUAAUAAAAUAGUUGUUAACCAGGGGUUUAGCUGUUUUCCAGGGGUUCUUCCCUGGCUGGGACUCGGCCUCCUGCUCCAUCAUGGGCCGUCCAUCCUUCCCAGCAAGGACGGGGCGAAUCCAAGGCCUCUCCUGCUGCCAAGGUGGAGCCUUGGGUAGGAACACAGCACGUCCUGAGCAAAAAAUAGUGACACCAAGCAAAACAAAGCAGAAAUAGCCCUUCCCAGCUGAUAAUCCUUGUGGGAAAGGUGGCACCAAGGCAGCAGCAGUGGCAAUACUGCAGUGAGGGAGGUGCCGCCAUUACCCGGGCUUCUCCUGUCACCGCUGGCGGUGUGACGGCCUGCACAACUGCUCCGUGUCUGCUCUAACUUCUUCACCUGUUUAAUCACAGCUGCCCAAAGUGCCUUAGCAGCUUCCUGGUGUGCUCAGGCUGCUGUCAGGCUGCUGGUUUUCUCUGUGGUUUGUGAGCUUGGCCUGGUUUGAUUAAUGGCAGCCCAGUGUGGGGGGAUGCAGCAGGGACAGAGAAGGCCGCACGGUCCCUUGGCUCGGGUUUGACUGCUAAAUCAGAGAAAGGUGCCGUGAAGUGGUCAAAGACCAAAAGGAAACAAACCUUCUGGGAUGUGCUUUCUGAGGCUCUCAGGAGCAACAGAAUGUCUUGGAACUUGAACAGCCUGCUCAGAUCCAUUAGAGGCAGAGGCUGGAGACAAAGCAGAUGAUGGAAACCCAUGUUAUUUAGUAUGCUGAAGAAGGAUAAAAAGCUUGCUAUGCCAAGAUGCCCGGUGGGUCUGCUCUGCCUGCCCACACCAGCCUGGCCAGGGAGCCCAGGGCUAAUGCUGGACACGGCUCUCAGAUCAGUAGGUCACUUCUGAUCUGAGUGACACCAGCAGAGCUGAGGUUAGAAUUUGGGACCGUGCACCAGCAACGUCUCCGCAGCGGUGUGAAAUUAACGCCAGGAGAAUGGAGCCCAUUGAUCUCAGCAGAGCAAAGCCAUCAGGAUUGACCCUGGGAAUCAUGUGACACAGUGUUCCAGGAAGCAGCCUUUGUUUGCACACACUGUGGCUUUUAUUUAUUAAUAUGUGAGGCCAACAAUGCCUAUUGUCUCCUCUCAUAUUAGAGUGUUGUCACAUGAGCAGUUCAAGUGACACCAAGGAUUGCAAGGCGAAGACAGGCGGUUCUAUCCGACUCCAACUGCAAAUGUAUAUUUGAAUACAUUAAUACUCAACAAAUAUCCUCUCAGAUUAAAUAGCUCACAGGUUUAUUUUUAAAUAAAAAUCACCCAAACCACUCUGCCUCAUAAGUUUGCCCAUCUAAACAAAGGAAGGGUAAUCCAGGCACAAUGCAUUUAAAUAAAAUUAAGUGAAUGAUUUGAGUAUCUGAAAUUCAGGUUUCAGAUUAUUUAUUAUGGUAAUAUUUUUUUUAAAAAAUCCUCUUUCGUCCUGUGACACUUGGAAAUUUUAAGUAUAGAGUUAUAAUUUUUAAUGGAGUUUUGUUCUGCUGUUUGAAAGACACCUUUUUGUUUCCAUCUCACUGGUAUAAUUUAGUCAUACAAAAUUAACAGCCUCUGUAAUAUUUAACCUUAUGUUAGCCUUACUAUGUAUAGUUUCAUCCCUUUCCCCCCUCUAUCAACCUAGAACAAUACUUCCUUUUUUUAUUUUUGCCUUACAAUUGCUGCUUUCUCCCCACAUUUUAUGUGAAUCAGUUCUGCAUAACUGCAUCUGCUAUUGUGUUCAAGAGAAGAGAUGAGGAUUCUUAUGAAUUAUAUCAGGCUAAUUACAUCAGGCUUGAAAUAAAUACAGCUGAGCCUUCAGCUUCUGCUAUAGUAC
This is a long non-coding RNA of Passer domesticus (house sparrow), 1840 nucleotides long. RefSeq lists it as uncharacterized. NCBI's taxonomy places the organism in Eukaryota, Metazoa, Chordata, Aves, Passeriformes, Passeridae. The record is from RefSeq and is a predicted model, not a curated record. The transcript has 3 exons.